This 495-nucleotide ribosomal RNA is filed under the name uncultured bacterium. Its description in RNAcentral is "bacterial SSU rRNA". It matches the Rfam family "Bacterial small subunit ribosomal RNA", at positions 791 to 1286 of the family's 1533-position model. The record is from RNAcentral.
UAGUCCACGCCGUAAACGAUGAUAACUAGCUGUCCGGACUCAUAGAGUUUGGGUGGCGCAGCUAACGCAUUAAGUUAUCCGCCUGGGGAGUACGGUCGCAAGAUUAAAACUCAAAGGAAUUGACGGGGGCCCGCACAAGCGGUGGAUUAUGUGGUUUAAUUCGAAGCAACGCGCAAAACCUUACCUAGGCUUGAACUCCUGAGAAGUCGGAGUAAUGUCUGAUGUGUCCUUCGGGAAACUCAGUGAGAGGUGCUGCAUGGCUGUCGUCAGCUCGUGUUGUGAAAUGUUGGGUUAAGUCUCGCAACGAGCGCAACCCCUAUCUUUAGUUGCCAGCAUUCAGUUGGGCACUCUAGAGAGACUGCCUGGGUUAACCAGGAGGAAGGUGGGGAUGACGUCAAGUCCUCAUGGCCCUUAUGUCUAGGGCUACACACGUAAUACAAUGGUGCAUACAAUGGGAAGCGAACUCGCGAGGGGAGCAAAUCUCAAAAAGUGCAU